This is a non-coding RNA of Caenorhabditis elegans, 21 nucleotides long. Lineage: Eukaryota; Metazoa; Nematoda; Chromadorea; Rhabditida; Rhabditidae. The record is from Ensembl.
UUAAUGGGUAAGGGUUCGAUA